CCAAUUGUCAAUCCUUAUUUGUUAAGGGGUUUUGAAAUUUCUCAAAAUCCCACAUCGAAAAUCUUUCAGAUUUCAGAGAUUUUAGGCCCUAUAAAUAAGCCUUCUUCUCACUGUUCAGAGGAGAGGAUUUUCGGAGAUCAAAGAGUACCCAAAAUUUUUUGAGAAUUCUUAGUUUCAUAGUUCAAAAUUUUAAAACGUGUUGUGAUUUUUCGAGUUGAAGAAAAUUUUAAAACGUUUUGUGGUUUUUCGAGUUGAAGAGGUGGAAUCGUCUCUGUUCCGUCAAACUCGUAGUUUCGAUUCACUGCCUAGAAUCACGAAACUUGUAGACGCAUAACUCACGGAUGAAUCUGAGAGGAGAGAGCUAUAUUUGAGAGGGAAAAAGGAUGUACCCGAGAGGAGAGAGAUGUAUCCAAGAGACGAUAGAGAUGCAUUCAGGAGGGGAUGAAGAUGUAUUCAAGAGAGGAUAUGUAUGUAUUCGAGAGGAGAUAGUGAUGUAUCUGACAGAGGAGAGAGAUUUAUCUGAUAGGAAAUUUUUAUAAUUUUUCUAAAUGCUAGAACUGGGAAUUUCCAGACUUAAAAAGUUCAAAUCCGGGCAGCAGCGGCAGCAAUUGGGCUUAAUGUUGAAGUUUCAUUAACAUUUUUUUCUCAUUAUAUAUUGUGAUUUUGUGAUAUUUGCUUCUAA
This is a long non-coding RNA of Solanum lycopersicum (tomato), 682 nucleotides long. RefSeq lists it as uncharacterized. The record is from RefSeq and is a predicted model, not a curated record. Lineage: Eukaryota; Viridiplantae; Streptophyta; Magnoliopsida; Solanales; Solanaceae.